UGUGUAGGCGGUUCUUUAAGUUUGCUGUGAAAUCUCCCGGCUUAACCGGGAGGGUGCGGUGAAUACUGAGGGACUAGAGUACGGGAGAGGAAAGUGGAAUUCCUGGUGUAGCGGUGAAAUGCGUAGAUAUCAGGAGGAACACCGGUGGUGUAGACGGCUUUCUGGCCGUAACUGACGCUGAGACACGAAAGCGUGGGUAGCAAACA
Molecule: ribosomal RNA, 206 nt
Filed under: uncultured bacterium
Lineage: Bacteria
Description: partial 16S ribosomal RNA
Rfam family: Bacterial small subunit ribosomal RNA
Source: RNAcentral